GCUGCGUGUUCACUAUCGCCCCCAGACAGUGCUGGGCGAACAAACACGGGGUGUUCUGACACUUUCACAAUAACAGGUGGUCCCCAGAGGCACCAAGUGGGCGGGGACGCCACGCAAUGGGGUAGGGAGGCUCUCCCGCCACCAGCAAGGCCCAGGGCUUCGUCCCCAGCACCCCAAGGAAACAACAGCUACACUAAUACUUUGGGAUACCCUGUCCCCCACCAUUAGAAGCACAGAAUAAGAAGCGCAGGUGUUGCGAGUCACGACGGUGUAGGGGGCCAGAGCUGCAAGGUAGGUGCUGUGCCACAAAGUUCAAAAUCCAGCUGCAUCGUCUAUAAGACACCCCCUGAAAGCACUGACAGGAAGAGCAUAAAGAUGUUAAAAGAUACCAAAAGAAAUGCCUUUAGUUACAUAAAUAUCAGACAGAAUAGACUUUAAGUGGGGAGCAGUCAAUGUCCCAGACCCCCCAAAAGGUCCCACAAAGCCCCAAGCAUUACUAAUUUUUCGGUAAUGGGGAAAGGACCAGGGAUGCUUUAUUGCUGAGCUAAACCCUCGGCCUUCUUGUAUAUUUUAUUUUAAGACGGGAUCUCAGUAAAUUGCUGAGGCUGGCCUUGAACUUUAUUUUUUUUUGGUACUAGGGAUUGAACCCAGGGGGUGCUUAACCACUGAGCCACAUCCUUAGCCCUUUUUAUAUUUUAUUUAGAGACAGGAUCUCACUGAGUUGCUUACAGCCUUACUCAGUUGCUGAGGCGGACUUUGAACUCACCAUCCUCCUGUGUCCCAAGCCAUUGGGAUUAUAGGCAAGCACCACCGUGCCUGGCCUGGCCUUGAACCUUCAAUCCUCCUGUCUCAGCCUCCCAAAUUGCAGGGAUUACAGGUGUGUAAUCCCACCUUCUAAUAAUUAUUAUUAUUAGAAUCCACACUCUCUAGGGGAUUCUCAACAGAAAUGAGUUCAACAAAGAAAAAAAUAAAAGCACACUUCUAAACUACCAGGUGAUGAAGAGGAAAGUGUAGUGAAAAUUCGAAAAACUGCUAAGGUUUGCACGUGUCUCCCCCAAAAUUCAGGUGUCGGGCCUUAAUGGCCAUGUGAUAGCCUUAGGAAGUUGUGCCUUACGCCGGGCUCUGGCACACCCCUGUGGUCCCAGCUACCCGAGAGGCCGAGGCCGGAGGAUCGCAAAUUCAAGUCCAACAUAAAAAAAAAAAGGGGGGGUGAGAAUGUGGCUCCAUGGUAAAUGCCUCUGAGUUCAAUCCCCUGUUCUGGGAGGGGAGACAAAAGGAGGUUGGGCCUUUAGGAGUUCAGGUCCUGGGACUCCUCGCGCCACCAUAAAGGGCUGGUGGAGGGAGUUCUGCCCUCUGCCUUCUGCCCUCUGCCCUCCGCCCGCCAUGUGAGACGCAGCAGGGAGGCCCGGUGGCACCGG
This 1418-nucleotide long non-coding RNA is filed under the name Marmota monax (woodchuck). Lineage: Eukaryota; Metazoa; Chordata; Mammalia; Rodentia; Sciuridae. The record is from RNAcentral.